Molecule: unclassified non-coding RNA, 386 nt
Filed under: Hevea brasiliensis (rubber tree)
Lineage: Eukaryota; Viridiplantae; Streptophyta; Magnoliopsida; Malpighiales; Euphorbiaceae
Source: RNAcentral
ACCCACCGUUCAUGUUAAUCAAAACAUUGUCUAGCUUUUGCUUCUGAACAGUCAAAUCUCUCCAUAGCGCUCGUGUGAGAGUGUGAUCAUCUUCAUCCUCAAUCCGGCGCCGGAGAAAAAUGUUGCAGUCUUCGAUUCGGCGAGUGAGGAAGUUGAAUGUUCUGAGGCCUCAGAUCUUUGCUCUCGGAAAUUCUCGUUUCUCCACUUUUGCUCAACCGUCUUCCAAGCCUCAUCCUCCGAGGGUUCCAAAUCUCAUAGGAGGGACUUUUGUGGAUUCUCAAUCCUCGGCAUUCAUAGAUGUCAUAAACCCAGCAACACAAGAAGUUGUUUCUCAAGUUCCAUUGACCACAAAUGAUGAAUUUAAAGCUGCAGUGUCUGCAGCAAAG